Molecule: ribosomal RNA, 726 nt
Filed under: uncultured bacterium
Lineage: Bacteria
Description: bacterial SSU rRNA
Rfam family: Bacterial small subunit ribosomal RNA
Source: RNAcentral
AUGAGUAAAGUGGCGUACGGGUGAGUAACACGUGGACAAUCUACCCUCUAGUGGGGAAUACCGCUGGGAAACCGGCGACAAUACCGCAUAAGCUCGAGAGAGGAAAGCAGCAAUGCGCUGGAGGAGGAGUCCGCGGCUGAUUAGCUAGUUGGUGAGGUAACGGCUCACCAAGGCAAAGAUCAGUAGCCGGCCUGAGAGGGCACACGGCCACACUGGCACUGAAACACGGGCCAGACUCCUACGGGAGGCAGCAGUGGGGAAUCUUGCACAAUGGGGGAAACCCUGAUGCAGCGACGCCGCGUGAGCGAUGAAGCCCCUCGGGGUGUAAAGCUCUUUCGGCAGGGAAGAUUAUGACGGUACCUGCAGAAGCAGCUGCGGCUAACUACGUGCCAGCAGCCGCGGUAAUACGUAGGCAGCAAGCGUUGUUCGGAGUUACUGGGCGUAAAGGGUGUGUAGGCGGUUGGAUAAGUGUGGUGUGAAAUCUCCCGGCUCAACUGGGAGGGUGCGCUACAGACUGUCUGACUAGAGUAUGGGAUGGGAGAGUGGAAUUCCUGGUGUAGCGGUGAAAUGCGUAGAUAUCAGGAGGAACACCGGUGGUGUAGACGGCUCUCUGGACCAUUACUGACGCUGAGACACGAAAGCGUGGGUAGCAAACAGGAUUAGAUACCCUGGUAGUCCACGCCCUAAACGAUGCAUAUUUGGGUGUGGGUCAUUCAUUUGAUCCGU